UUUGGUGGCACAUGUUCAUUUUUAUUCGGCGUCGGUGUUUUCAGCUUUUUUCAGCGUUUUUGGAAGUUAAUUGGAGAAGUACAAGUGAGAUUUACGUUAUUCCUUAUCGGAUGAAGAAAGAAACUACCUACGACGAAAGAUUAAAUCUUUCCAUCCGCGAUUACAUAAUCGCUAGUGGCGUGGUUCCCAUCAACGAGAUUUUCUUACAAUUGGGAGACGAUUUCUUCAUCGUCCGGGUUCCGAUCGGAAUCCCCAGAACUCGAAAGACCCCCCAUCUUUCCCACUUAUACGACAGCAGUCGUAUGUAAGUGUUUCACAAUUGGAAGCAAUCCUUUUGUGAGGGGGUCGGCCAUACAUAUGGUUUUAUAUUUUUUCGACAUCGAAAAAAUAGAGUUUUCUGGCUCGUCCGGCUAUGGAUGAGGCGCCCGGGAUACUGGGACAUAAUGAACAAUUUUUUAUGGCUGUUGGAAUGCAUUUACUCCAUCGUAAGUAUAUUUUUUAGGCCCUUCAAUUAAUUCUGAUGUCAUUGUUGAGCCCCUUGAGACGGAUUUAAAGCAAAAUGGCCUUUAAGCUAUGGGGUCGAUAGUCCCAACACAAAGUUUGAUGUGUCAUGACAUUUUGGCAAGUCAGAUUAAUACCUUUUUGAAAUCCGGUGUGUCCGAAGAUUGUCUCAGUGACCUUUUGCGUUGAUAUCCUGUGCCGAAGAAUUGCCCGCUCAAUAACUCUCCUAAAUUGAAUGUGCAGAUGAAAUCUGCCAUCAACAAAGGUGGAAAGAAAAGGGAUGAGAGACUGACUGCAACAAGGGGUGCUUUGAUGGUGGUUGGUAGGACGCUCUUGACCUUGCUUUUGAAACUGGUUAAGGAUGAGUAGUACUUACUUCUCAUCGAAAUGUUGAGUAAUGCAAUAUUUGUUUUAAGCAAAAUACACCAUUUAGGUUCAGUAUAUAGAAGUUCAGCCGCGUUAAGCCUUUCGCUGGUCUCAAAUGAAAUGCAGCCUUGUAUGAAGGAAGUGCUCGUUGAUGCUUCUUUGCACUCUUGUUUAUAUGGAGAAGAUUUGGCUGAUAGGCUCAAAUCAAUCAGAUUAGCUGCAGAUUAGUGGCCGAGUUAAAGUCAGGUGCAUCCGGAACAAGACUUUUAUAGCAUACAAAUUUAAACUCGACUGUCCCACUUCGUUCCCGGAAGUUGCAAGGCUGAAGUGGGUGAAAGUCAUUGUACCCUCAAAAGAGGGAAUACAGGAAGGUUCGAGAGGAAAGGGGGUGGAGUUGUGUCCCCAGGAAAAAAUAUUUACAGAAUCCUGAAUGCCCUGUAAGGCAGCAAUGUUACAAACUUGAGAUUUUCUCAGAUGGUACUCCUUUGGGUUGGGGAAUUGUGCCAGAGGACUUUGGAGUCCUAGGGAAGCUCAGUUUCAUAUUAAUGCACUAGAAUUAACUGCGGCCUCAUUUGGUCUCUAAUGCUUCGCCUCGUAUUUGACUAACUGCGAGACACUUUUGAGGAUUGAUAAGACAACUGCUAUUUUGUAUGUAAAUAGAAUAGGGUGAGUAAAAUUUCCUGUUUUAAACGAAAUUUCGAGGCGCCUUGGGGUUGGUGUGAAGAAAGGAGGUUAUGGGUUAAAGCAUCUUACAUUCGAUCUUCCGAUAAUUUUGAAGCGCAUAAGGAACCCACGAAUUUGAAUUUUGAUGGUGAAUGGUACCUUUCGGACAAUGCUUUUGCUAAAAUAACAAGCAAAUUUGGAUUCCCAUAAAUCGAACUGUUUGCUUCUCGCCUAAGUAAGAAAUGCAGAAAGUUUAUUUCCUAAUUUCCAGAUCCGGAGGCAUCUAAUGAAGACGCGUUUACUGUUUUUUGGAGCGACAGUUUCUUCUAUGUUUUCCCCCCGUUUUGCUUGUUGCCACUUGUUUUACGAAAAAUCAAGGCUGAUUGAGCUACAGGGAUCGCAGUAAUCCCUUACGGGCACAGCCAGCAUUGACAAAUUACCUUCUUCUUUUGACAGGAGAGGUCACCCUUUGUGGAAAUCCCUUACCCUGGCUGCAGGGAUUUUGUCAGGCAAGCAUUCCAGAAGAUUUGCUGGAUAUUUUUCUAUCAUCUGUUCAGAGCGCUACCUUGAGGCAUUUAUUACCUGCAUGCAUUUAAACUUUGGUGGAGCUUCUACGAAAGGAGGGGAGUGGAGUGUUAUUACUUCUCACCUAGGCUGUAUUAGAUUUCCUUACUAUUCAUUUUAGACAAGACAAGUCCUAUGGCUCAUUGAGUUCUUUCAGUGCAGCACGGCCUUAUUUUUGGAUCAGAUUUAUUUAACAAUGCAAAUCUAACUAGGUUUUUUAAGGUGUUUAUAAUCUAAGGCCAAGUAAACCAAGAUAUAACAGCACUUGGGGCCCUAGUUAUGUCCCUGACUUUGUAAAAGGGUUACGUUCUAAUGACUUGUCAUUAAAGCAAUUAACUGUCAUUAAAACAAUUAAAUUAGUUUCUCCUACUGAAGUUAACGAUUGUACAUAGAGUCCAAACGCUCUCUCUUAUAGAAUUGGUCAACAUAAAAUCAUUUCCAGAUGGAUUAGAAAUUAGAAUAACGAAUCAAAUUAAGAUUUCAGCUAUAAAUAAGACUCGACCUGUUUUUUAAUUUUGCAUAUAUAUAUUAUUGAGAGGGCCAGUGCUUUAAGAGGCAGUGAAUCUCGUUUACUCAUUACAUUUAAAAAGCCUUGUAGGGCAGCAACUAUACCCAACAAAAGUAGAUGAAUAAAGAUAACUUUAGAAGAUAGUGUUGUCUACACUUUUAUUUUUACUGUUCACAGAACUCGACAUGCCUCAACAUCGUCUGCGUUUUGUAAAGGUGUUUCAAUUGAUAUGAUUGGAAAAACGGCAGAUUGGUGAGAAUGCUCUAAAUGUUUUCCCCUUUUUUAUAAUAUAUUUGUACAGCAAGUGCAGUCCUUUUUGUUAAUGCCACAUUUGGGACAUAGAAUUUUUCAGAAGGUUUGUUUUCUCGGAUAGCCAUUUAUUUUGUAUUUGUACUCGAGGCUUUCAUAAACUUCCUGGAUUUCCUUAUAUAGCCGAAUAAAAUCGUUUUAUAACAAAUUUGCUGAGUUGCCUUUGAAAGUCUACGUAUAUUGAUUUCAUAGAAGAGGUGUAACAUAUAAUUCAAUGAUCAAACGAACUUACCUGGUAAGUGAAGUUCGAUCGUAAUUAUAUGUUACACCUCUUCGUAGAAAUCACCCAUUCCCGCCCAAUUUACUGUUCUGAACAGUACUAAAAUGCCCUUUGGCAAAUUUAUUAUAAACGGGCUUUAAAAUAGAAUGAGGUUAAGACCAUAGAUGGCGAAUAUACCGUCCAUGGUAAGUUAUUCCACAGUUUUUUGGCUCUGCUUUAAAGCUGUGGUGCCACCUAGCGACUAGAAGGGGGACUACGUAUAUUGAUUUCUACGAAGAGGUGUAACAUAUAAUU
Molecule: long non-coding RNA, 3425 nt
Organism: Cylas formicarius (sweet potato weevil)
Lineage: Eukaryota; Metazoa; Arthropoda; Insecta; Coleoptera; Brentidae
Exons: 3
Source: RefSeq, a predicted model, not a curated record